AUGGCUUGCUUCGGCCACAUAUAUACUAAAAUUGGAAUGAUACAGAGAAGAUUAGCAUGGCCCCUGUGCAAUGACAACACACAAAUUUGUGAAACAUUCCAUAUUUUU
This is a small nuclear RNA of Jaculus jaculus (lesser Egyptian jerboa), 108 nucleotides long. The record is from Ensembl. NCBI's taxonomy places the organism in Eukaryota, Metazoa, Chordata, Mammalia, Rodentia, Dipodidae.